UGAUGGGCCGGGUGUGUAAGCGCAGCGAUGCGUUGAGCUAACCGGUACUAAUGAACCGUGAGGCUUAACCUUACAACGCCGAAG
Molecule: ribosomal RNA, 84 nt
Filed under: Shigella sonnei
Lineage: Bacteria; Pseudomonadati; Pseudomonadota; Gammaproteobacteria; Enterobacterales; Enterobacteriaceae
Description: partial 23S ribosomal RNA
Source: RNAcentral